ACUCCUACGGGAGGCAGCAGUGGGGAAUAUUGCACAAUGGGGGAAACCCUGAUGCAGCCAUGCCGCGUGUGUGAAGAAGGCCUUCGGGUUGUAAAGUACUUUCAGCAGUGAGGAAGGUGGGUAUGUUAAUAGCAUACUCAUUUGUACGUUAGCUGCAGAAGAAGCACCGGCUAACUCCGUGCCAGCAGCCGCGGUAAUACGGAGGGUGCGAGCGUUAAUCGGAAUUACUGGGCGUAAAGCGCAUGCAGGUGGUUUGUUAAGUCAGAUGUGAAAGCCCGGGGCUCAACCUCGGAAUUGCAUUUGAAACUGGCAAACUAGAGUACUGUAGAGGGGGUAGAAUUUCAGGUGUAGCGGUGAAAUGCGUAGAGAUCUGAAGGAAUACCGGUGGCGAAGGCGGCCCCUGGACAGAUACUGACACUCAGAUGCGAAAGCGUGGGAGCAAACAGGAUUAGAUACCCCGUGGUAGGAUAGCG
This 473-nucleotide ribosomal RNA is filed under the name uncultured bacterium. RNAcentral's name for it is "bacterial SSU rRNA". It matches the Rfam family "Bacterial small subunit ribosomal RNA", at positions 335 to 799 of the family's 1533-position model. The record is from RNAcentral.